GAUGAACGCUAGCGGCAGGCUUAACACAUGCAAGUCGAGGGGCAGCAUGAAGGUUAGCAAUAACUUUUGAUGGCGACCGGCGCAAGGGUGCGUAACGCGUGAGCAACUUGCCCGUUUCAGGGGGAUAACCGGUGGAAACGCCGACUAAUACCCCAUAGUAUAUGGUAUAGAGGCAUCUUUGUACCAAGAAAGGAGUGAUCCGGAUAAGGAUGGGCAUGCGGGACAUUAGGUAGUAGGUGAGGUAACGGCUCACCUAGCCGACGAUGUCUAGGGGUUCUGAGAGGAAGGUCCCCCACACUGGUACUGAGACACGGACCAGACUCCUACGGGAGGCAGCAGUGAGGAAUAUUGGUCAAUGGGGCGAGAGCCUGAACCAGCCAAGUCGCGUGAGGGAAGACGGUACUAAGUAUUGUAAACCUCUUUUGUCAGGGAACAAAGCCUGCAUGUAUGCAAUAAUGAGUGUACCUGAAGAAAAAGCAUCGGCUAAACUCCGUGCCAG
This 499-nucleotide ribosomal RNA is filed under the name uncultured bacterium. RNAcentral describes it as "bacterial SSU rRNA". It matches the Rfam family "Bacterial small subunit ribosomal RNA", at positions 28 to 511 of the family's 1533-position model. The record is from RNAcentral.